CCUACGGGGGGCAGCAGUGGGGAAUAUUGGACAAUGGGGGGAACCCUGAUCCAGCCAUGCCGCGUGUGUGAAGAAAGCCCUCGGGUUGUAAAGCACUUUCAGUGAGGAAGAACGCCUGGUGGUUAAUACCCAUCAGGAAAGACAUCACUCACAGAAGAAGCACCGGCUAACUCCGUGCCAGCAGCCGCGGUAAUACGGAGGGUGCGAGCGUUAAUCGGAAUUACUGGGCGUAAAGCGCGCGUAGGUGGCUUGAUAAGCCGGUUGUGAAAGCCCCGGGCUCAACCUGGGAACGGCAUCCGGAACUGUCAAGCUAGAGUGCAGGAGAGGAAGGUAGAAUUCCCGGUGUAGCGGUGAAAUGCGAAGAGAUCGGGAGGAAUACCAGUGGCGAAGGCGGCCUUCUGGACUGACACUGACACUGAGGUGCGAAAGCGUGGGUAGCAAACAGGAUUAGAUACCCUGGUAGUC
This 465-nucleotide ribosomal RNA is filed under the name Vreelandella stevensii. RNAcentral's name for it is "partial 16S ribosomal RNA". It matches the Rfam family "Bacterial small subunit ribosomal RNA", at positions 338 to 795 of the family's 1533-position model. Lineage: Bacteria; Pseudomonadati; Pseudomonadota; Gammaproteobacteria; Oceanospirillales; Halomonadaceae. The record is from RNAcentral.